This 253-nucleotide ribosomal RNA is filed under the name uncultured bacterium. RNAcentral describes it as "partial 16S ribosomal RNA". It matches the Rfam family "Bacterial small subunit ribosomal RNA", at positions 524 to 776 of the family's 1533-position model. The record is from RNAcentral.
UACGUAGGGUGCGAGCGUUAAUCGGAAUUACUGGGCGUAAAGCGUGCGCAGGCGGUUCGUUGUGUCGGUGGUGAAAGCCCCGGGCUUAACCUGGGAAUGGCCGUCGAAACUGGCGAACUGGAGUGUGGCAGAGGGGGGUGGAAUUCCGCGUGUAGCAGUGAAAUGCGUAGAGAUGCGGAGGAACACCGAUGGCGAAGGCAGCCCCCUGGGCUGACACUGACGCUCAUGCACGAAAGCGUGGGGAGCAAACAGG